RNAcentral lists this transfer RNA (84 nucleotides) under Verrucomicrobiaceae bacterium. RNAcentral's name for it is "tRNA-Tyr". It matches the Rfam family "tRNA". Rfam says of the family: Transfer RNA (tRNA) molecules are approximately 80 nucleotides in length. Their secondary structure includes four short double-helical elements and three loops (D, anti-codon, and T loops). The record is from RNAcentral. Lineage: Bacteria; Pseudomonadati; Verrucomicrobiota; Verrucomicrobiia; Verrucomicrobiales; Verrucomicrobiaceae.
GGGAGAAUGUCCCGAGCGGCAAAGGGGGCGGACUGUAAAUCCGCUGCGUAAGCUUCGAAGGUUCGAGUCCUUCUUCUCCCACCA